Molecule: long non-coding RNA, 508 nt
Organism: Oreochromis niloticus (Nile tilapia)
Lineage: Eukaryota; Metazoa; Chordata; Actinopteri; Cichliformes; Cichlidae
Exons: 2
Source: RefSeq, a predicted model, not a curated record
AGCUGAGAGCUCGGACAGGUUUAAAUAGCCUCCUCUUCUCUGGAGGCUGUAUGGAGAUGAGCUCCUUGGAGGCCUGCUUUGCGUCACGGCUUUUUUUCUAUUUAUGGGGCACAAAUAUCAGGAGGGGACGCUUCAGGUGCACUCAGCCAAAACCAUUAAGGGUUACGUAAACGUUACACAGUCUUGGAUAUAAAUAGAAAAUCAUACUAUGAAGAUUAUUAUGUUCGCUUCUUAUUGUAUUGUGUUUUGGGUCCAGCUACAGGAACAGCUCUGAUAGGACAAGAUUUACUGCAGAGCUGUGAAGAUUACAUCUAGACUGCAGGUAAAGAAGACAACAGUGAGCUUUAUACAUUGAGACACUCACGGCUCAGGUGUGUACGUGGGCUUGGAGCCGUGGCGAAUGUACUGCGUGGAAUGGAAGACGCGGAACGCGAGUCCAGCCAGGAAGUCGCGGGACGAGAGCAGGCCGGCUACGGGGCGAAGCCGGAAACCUGUGCAUGCUGCAGGA